Molecule: non-coding RNA, 719 nt
Organism: Taeniopygia guttata (zebra finch)
Lineage: Eukaryota; Metazoa; Chordata; Aves; Passeriformes; Estrildidae
Source: RefSeq, a predicted model, not a curated record
CCCGCGGCGCUGCCCCGGGGCGGGCGGGGCGCGGCGCUCAGGUGUUCUCCGCCUCGGCGAGACAUUGACCGCGGCCGGGUCACAGAGCCACGCGGGCUGAGGAGCGGACCAGGCACUGAGACAGGGCGAUUUCAACACUACAGAUUUCCACCUCGGCUUUUCUUUCCCCCUUCGCCUACCCUAAGUGGCUUAAGGUAGUGAUGAGCCAUUUCCAGGUUAUUUUCUCGAGCGAGUGUUGGAGGUGACGGGGCAAUUGCGUAGGUACAGUCAGGAUCCUUGCGGUGGUAUCUGGUGAAAGGCUUCGGCUGAAGCUGCUUGCAUCUGUGAACAGUUGUGCCCUUGGAUCUUCAAAUGGGGUGUUUCAAGCUUAGCUUCUAUGCAAUGAAUGAGAAAGGAAGGCUGGCCGAACUGACGGGAAUAAUUGACCAAAAUAACAUCAGAGUCUCUCCCGUGUAAAGUCAAUAAGUCCGAGGACAGCACUUUUGGAUAGAAAAUACAUAUGUUACCUGAGAAAUGAAUGAACACCACACUACACUGACUUGCAGUCCAAGGGCUAUUCAUCCCAAAAUGAUGAGGAAGGAGAAGCUAAUGCAAAUUAACUAGUUAAAUGCGGAAUAUAUACUAUGUUCUUAUGCAUUCUACUGUAUCAUUGUAACUGCCAACAUCGAAGAUUAAAUAAAUACAGAAAAGCAACUGAGUAACAGAACUCCUAAACUAUA